GACGAAGGGGGCUAGCGUUGUUCGGAAUUACUGGGCGUAAAGAGCGUGUAGGCGGCUUGGUAGGUCCGCUGUGAAAACUCGAGGCUCAACCUCGAGAUGUCGGCGGAAACCACUUGGCUAGAGUCCGGAAGAGGAGAGUGGAAUUCCUGGUGUAGCGGUGAAAUGCGCAGAUAUCAGGAAGAACACCUAUGGCGAAGGCAGCUCUCUGGGACGGUACUGACGCUGAGACGCGAAAGCGUGGGGAGCGAACAGG
RNAcentral lists this ribosomal RNA (253 nucleotides) under uncultured bacterium. RNAcentral describes it as "partial 16S ribosomal RNA". It matches the Rfam family "Bacterial small subunit ribosomal RNA", at positions 524 to 776 of the family's 1533-position model. The record is from RNAcentral.